This 23-nucleotide non-coding RNA is filed under the name Cricetulus griseus (Chinese hamster). The record is from RNAcentral. Lineage: Eukaryota; Metazoa; Chordata; Mammalia; Rodentia; Cricetidae.
AUGGGUUUCUGAAUAAAAUUUGU